Molecule: long non-coding RNA, 4003 nt
Organism: Macadamia integrifolia
Lineage: Eukaryota; Viridiplantae; Streptophyta; Magnoliopsida; Proteales; Proteaceae
Exons: 4
Source: RefSeq, a predicted model, not a curated record
CACUUUCCAUUUAGGGAGCCCCAUAGGGCUGUAGAGUUCUCAUUUGAUGUUUUUUUUUCACAUCGUCUGGGAAAUCAGAGAAUUGCAGAGAGACCGGCGAUGGGCUACACCAAAGACCAGCUGCUCGGACAUCUAAAGGAGCUUCAAAUUGAUUUUUCCUGUAUUGAUCAUCCUGUGGUCUUGACGGUUGAAGCUGCGUUAAAAUAUGUUGGACAUUUGGGAGGUGGAAUGAGUAAAAACUUAUUUUUGAAGGACAAAAAACAUAGGUUUUAUAUUGUUUCCACUCUGGCGGGUACAACUGUGGAUUUAAAAGGUAUAUCUCAUUUCUUUCUCUACUGAUGGAUAGAUUUAUGAAGAGAGUAAAAAAUUUUCAAUUCCCAAAAGGUGGGACCGGCUACCAGAACAGAAAAAAGGCCAAGCAGAAAAGUACUCAACUCAUGGCCCCCUGACAUGGCAUGGACUGGACCAAAGAAUUCCUCUGCUAGCUAACUCAUGGAAUGAGAGAUUUUAGCAUCCCAUGUCUCCAUUGGGACAAGAUGUUUGAGUAGACAAAGUACUUGAUUUCUAAGAACUGAUGGCAACUUAAAAUUAAAAAUAAAAGUAGAAGAAGAGAAGAAAAAAAGAAAAAAAGGAAGAGGGGAAAUUAUGUUUAUCUGUAGUCUCCUUCCUAUCCACAAACGCAUAGUAUUCACAAUUUCACAUGCCCCUCAUAAUACAAGGAUGAUAAUGCUUUUAGAUCACACACUAUAACAGUAGUUUUGGAUAUUCCAAUAAAAUGAAACAUCACCGAACAACUAUGAGUUUGUUGAUAAACUGGACCUAUGCCUAGUUGCCUACAUUCCAAUAAGGUAUAGAGGAGUUGGAGUGACGUGUUCUAGGGUAGACAAAACAUGAUUAGGAUAGUAUAAUAACCACAGGACAGAAACGCAAUCCAAGUAAUAAACAGAAGUGUAGAAUAUAGAAAGUUAAAAUAUCUCAGAUUCUAAUGGUUGGAUAGGGCUGAGGUUAAAGUCGAUUAGACCCCUAAAUUUUUCUUGUUCUUUUUUUUAGGUUGAACUAAAUAUGUUGUUCAAUCCCCUCCAAAUAUCAAGCUGAUCCAAUGGUGGGAUCUACUAGAACAGUGUAUGACAGAAAAUAUAAACUCAGAUAUCAGUAUUUAGUGACUCCUAUGAUUAGUGAUAUAUUACAAUCCCUGGGUCGGUUGACCCCCAAAAUUAUGGUCAAAGGUAGAGGGGACAGGGAAGUAAACUAUAUCAAAAAAGGGGCCAGUCCGAUGGCUGGAUUGGUUACAGUGAUAGCUCAAAAACCCUGCAGCCAGAAUUAGUUAACAACACAGAAAACCAAUAGCUAGUAAUGAAUACCUGCAAACCAGUGAGUAAAACAGUGAUAGAAUGGCAUUAAAAGUUUACAACGGAAGGAAUGAAGGGAAUAAAAGGGGUGAGAACAAACAAAUUAAACCUAGGAAUUGAUGGUUGUUGGACAACCUAAAACAGUUAAUAGGAUGGGGGGGAAAAAAAAUGAAACCGUGGGGAAGAAUUUUGGGUUAGAAUCCUGCAGGAAAAUAUUGAUAGAUGAUAGAUAUUAUAAAACAACAAGAUGAAACUCAAAGUGAAGUAAAAUCCACCUAGAGAAAAGUCACGUAGGGACUAGGAAGAGGGGGUUGGUGCUUGCUGGAAAUUGACAGAAUCGGUUGGAAGAACAAAGGAGGAAAAGAAGAAGGUGAGAGAAGGUAGGGGGAAAGAAGAGAGAUGGCUUGGUUUCACCACCAAAACCUAGGUAAGGCUUCACCACCCACCCGUCCAAGGUUUCACCACCUUGGUUGCACUUGAUGCACCACAAGGCUAUUGCUUCAUUGAAGAGACACAUUAGGUUGAAUGCCAACAACGUGGGAGAAGGUCUCCCUUCUUCUAUUUAUUAAUUUGUGUAGUUGCACUUACAAAUUAGAAAGCUUGGCUAGCAAGUAGUCUACAAUCAAAAUAGAAACUUCUAAAACCAUAGAGGAAAAAUUACAUUGAAAUAAAAACUUGGACUACAAUAUAUGUUGUUCAGCAACUACUCCAACAGGUAGGCCAUUAGGGAAUAAAGAACGGGCUUCAAUACUGCUGCAACUGAUAGCUUAUAUUGGGCUUAAAUGAUGACCCAUAAUGUGCUUAAUUUAUAACCAUAACGGGCCUUAGUGGGGGGCUUAAGUGAGCUGGUUAUAACUUGUCCACUGGGCUUGUGGUCACAAUGGACCUUCGCUUUCCUCCAUCAUUUCCGCUCCGUCCCCGACAUGGGGAUGGAAAAGGAAAAGGUAUUGGAUAGCGAUAAUGUGUAGCAUGGUCAUACGCUAGGGUUCAAUCCUAAGAAUAUGGAUCGGUACCUUUGGUCCUCAAAUGUCAAGAGAGGGUACACAAUAUGAAUAAAGGGGAGUCGCCACCUAGAAAGGGUCUAAGACCCAUAAAUGUCUCCCCCAAUUAAGGGGGAGAGACUAAUGACUCAAUGGAUAAGACUGGUUUACACUAGGAUUCUGGGCAAGUGUCAAGUAACAGACUGGGAAGGUGUUAGGCACCCAGUCUACCUUGCCCUAGAGCCGGUCUCUUUCUGUUUGACCAAAGUUUGUUUGUACCCUACUAAGUAGUCCUAAAUCUAAGUCACUGAAAAUCCUAAACUAGGUAUUUAAGCAAAAGACUUGUCCAAUUCUAAACGAAGUGUCUAAGUUAUGCUAACCUAGGUCAUGGUACAAAAAGUAAAAGUAGACUAGCUAGAAAAGCAUGAAAAAUCUAAAUGAGUUGGUGUGUGGAUUAUGGACCCUAAAUUGGACUAAUUGGAUUAAUUGAGCCUAACCUAGAUGGAUGAUUAAUGAAUUUAUGAAAUCGUAAAUUGAACUAAUUGGAUUAAUUGAGCCUAACCUAAAUGGAUGAUUAAUGAAUUUAUGAAAUCCUAAAUUGAACUAAUUGGUGAAAUGUUUCUAAUUAGCCAAUACCUUAUGAAAUAAGAGAAAGAAGGAUUGGACUAGCUACCUUAAGUGAAUGCAUUUAAAUGGCCUAAUGAAUCUAGUUCAAACAGAUUAAACUAAAGCAGUUUAUGAGGCCUAAUUAUGUUAGUUACAAUUGGUUUGAUCUAACUUAGGGGAUGUAUUAAAGAUGCUACAAAAAUCUUAUUUAGAUUAGUGAGAUGAUAUGUUUUUAACUACUUAAUGCUGCUCUAAUUAAUUACCCUAAAGUAAGUAACUAAUUGUGUGUCAAGAAACUAAAUAUACAACAUUACACUACAUAACUCUAUAAAGUAGAUGUCCAAUGUAGGUGAGGAGAAAAUAUAUGUAAAGGAAAAUUAACUCUAGAUGCAUACAUGGUGUGAAGGAAUUGAAAUGAUUUAAGCAUGCAAAUCCUAAAUUAACACAUGGCAUGAUAUUCUUAUUCAAAGUUAAAACAAUAAAAGAAUAAAUCAAGAUGGGCCUAAUGAUGGAGUUAAAAAUAUGGAUUGGAUUGGGACAGGGCAAAAAAAAAAAAAAAAAAAAAAAAAAAAACAGAUUGAUCGCAUUUGGUUUGACAAGGCUCAUAAAUUUUAAAUGGACUCAAUAUGUUUUGGAAAGGGGAGGUAUUGGAGGCCCAACAGAUGUAAAAUAAGACCACUCCAGGGGUGGUUCCAUUUGCAGGUUUAUAUGCUCAAUGCCUCAGUACGAGCUCAAGCUCUUCUCCCACGGCCUAAACCAAACCAAUCAAUACCCAUGGGCUUAGACCGAAAUCAAAGCACAAAACCAUCCCUAUUUCAACUAGCGGGCCAAAAGUGAAAUCAAGCCCAAGGGGGCUAAAGAUUUUGGUCAAUUUAAACUUGCCAUUUAGAUCCAAAUAAAUCCAAGGGAUUCAUCUUUGAACCAAAAUUUGCCAAAGCCGACACUAAAAGUAAUCCAAAAGAUAAAUAAAUGGGAGAGGGAGUGAUGUAGAUCCACAUUAUGGAAGGAAAUAUGAGUGGAAGAAGGGUCCAGCCUUAGUCCACCUGAGUGGUUAGGGUCCAGCCAAGA